Peromyscus eremicus (cactus mouse) is the source of this 3039-nucleotide long non-coding RNA. RefSeq lists it as uncharacterized. The record is from RefSeq and is a predicted model, not a curated record. The transcript has 2 exons. Lineage: Eukaryota; Metazoa; Chordata; Mammalia; Rodentia; Cricetidae.
AUGUUUUCUAGGAGGAAAAAGAAAGGAGCUGGAGAAGCCUGUUUGAUGUCUCCUGGGCUUUGGCUACGGAGGUCUGGUGUGGAUGUGCAUAUGUGAAGAUGUGCUGGUCUCUUCCUUCAGCAUGAAUAAUACAGACAGGAGCAAACCAUGAUUUUCAUGCAGAAGGGGCUUAUCAGACAAAGUGGGAGCCACCUGGUGAUGGAAUACGAUUUAAAAAAAACACCAAAAACCAAAACCCUGAAGUUGAGUGUGCCAGAUGAAAAUAUAAGAGAGGAAUCCCACAAUGCUGUCCGGAGCAGUCUGAUGUCUGUCUGUCUAGGAGUUGAUUUGACUUUCUGAAGAAAUGCCCUGGCCUAUAUGGUACCUUUACUUACAAGAAACAAGGUGGUCCCAAGGCAGACAUGGCCCCUCAGCAUAUGGCUCAGCAAGUGGGGCAGGAGCUGGACUUCAGCCACUACCAUCCCUCAGAAAACUGCCUGCUUUUCCUGCCCCCAGACUUUCUAUUCCUAUCUCACAUUAUUCAUCUUCUAAAUAUGCACAACACUCCCUCCCCCACCCCAGGAAAAGAAAGAAUAAAAUAAAAUGAAACACCCUCUUCAGUCUUCUUCACCUUCCCUCUGCAAGAACUCUAAUCCUUUCUUCAUGUGGAGAGAGGUUUUUCUAUCUGUCUCUGUAUAGAUGAUUCAAAUCUGUACCUUAGUCCCACCUCCCUCUUCAAAUCUCAGUCCUGUGUCUAGCAUCCCAGAUCCCAAGUCCACAGAGGAUGCAUAGUCUUUCCUCAGGCCAAUUGCCCCAGACAAUUCCAGUGUGCUAGUGGAGAUGUAUUCAUCCUAUUACCCAUGACAUACUAAAAAGUCAACCUGACAUCCUUCCCUGUCUGUAAUCAAACCUGGACCAUUGUCCUUUUCCUGCUGGUCCUUCUGCUCCACACUGAUCUAAGCCUUUAGCUUCUCAUGUCUGCACUCAGAUUUCACGUCAAGUGAAACAGUUUUCUGAUCAUGGUCCUUUUCCUUUCCUAGUGGUUCUUCCUGAGGGCAGUUUUGUGUCCCUUUGGGUGACCUAUGAUCACAGUUCUGGUUAUCACAACUGGCUGUGAGCUGCUGUUACCAAAUGGUUAGCAGAGGACAGGGAUGCUGAUAACCAUCCUAUAGAGCACAGGUUAGCCCUCGGAACAAAGACUUAUCAGCUGUGUCAAGAUGGAGAAACCAUGGUCUAUGUCUCUUCCUCCACACCCCUUGACGCCACAGCCUGAUUCUACUUCAGGAAAUGCAUUCUGCACAUACUUACCCCUCUCUUUAUAUAGAUAAAAAAGCCCAGUUUUCUAUACUCACAAAAGCUACCUCUGCCUAAGAUAGCUUCCGUUUUCCUUUUCAUGCCAGUAAAUCUUUCCAUUCUCUUAAAGCCCAUACACAGCCGCAUCGCCACACUGUGUGUUGGGUUGGUCGUCUUUGUCCCUUUAAGCCCACUCUUGAGUCGUCUCUGUCUUAGCCUGUGUAUCAGGAUGGCAGCUUCUGGGCUCUGAUGGUCUUCAGUGUCUGGUGAGUUUGGCCUAUGGGAGGAAAUAGUAGGUGUUUUUCCCCAGCUCUGAACCCAAGUCUCCUGCCUUGGAUGUCCGGCAUCCGCUCCGAUCUAGCACCUCUUCUUCCACUCACCAUUCACCUACCUUUGCUUGUGGAUUUAUUGACUUUCAGAUGGCCUUUUACCAUGCAGACCAGGCUGUCUUCACACUCAUGAGUCUCCAGCCUCAGUCUUUGGGGUGUUGGGUUUACAGGUAAGGAUCUUCACUCCAAGCGACAUGCAAUUCUCUUUGUUCAUUUGUUUUUUAGUUUUUCAAGACAGGGUUUCUCUGUGUAGCCUUGGCUGUCCUGGAACUCAUUCUGUAGACCAGGCUGGCCUUGAAUUCAGGGAUCCAGCUGCCUCUGCCUCCCGAGUGCUGGGAUUAAAGGCAUGCUCUGCCAUAUCUGGCUUGACAUGCAAUUCUGAUAGGCCCCAGAAGUACUGUUUCCUCAGGGGUUGUACUUCACUGGUUUUACUUACUGCUUGCCUUCCUAGGUCUAGGGAUAGCAACUAUUUCCCACAACUACUGGUCCUUGGGUUUACCACUGUGAUCAGUUUGGUAAACUCUGCCAGUCCUCAAUAAAUAUUUUCUUAGCUAAACUUUCCUUUUAAAAGAUUUUUUUAAAUGUUUACGUUAUUUGUAUGUGUGUACAUGUUUUGUCUGGAUGUAUGUCAGUGUAUCAUAUGUGUACUUGGUGUCCACAGAGGCCAGAAGAAGGCGUUAGAUCCUCUGGAACUGGAGUUACAGGUGAUUGUAACUGCUGCCCCAUGCUAAGUGGGUGCUGGGAAUUGAACCCAGGUCUUCUGGAAGAGCAGCCAGUGCUCUCAACCACUGAGUCAUCUCUCUGGCCCAGCUAAGCUUUCUUGAGUGUACCAUAUGCUCCUUACUGGAUCCCCACUGCCACAGGAGAAUUCUCUCUCCUCUGGGCUCCUAAUUCUGAGCUGGCUGUUGGGAUCACUCCUUUGCCAUUCAGUGUGGAUGGAUGCCCUACAGUGUGGUGAUCUAUUUAUGUCUACUAUUUUCUGUGUUUCUACAUUCUCUUGGCAUAGUUCCACACUCAGCAAAUGUUUACCCGUGAAAAUUAUGAGUUUCCUAAGCAAAGUGAAUUUAAAUUAAUUCUUUUGUACCAGAAUUUUUUUGAGGGGACCUGAACUCAGAGACGGUUCUUUGGUGGUUCAGAACUGAGCAAAUCAUGGACCCUGUGAUAUGAAUUUUGCUGUUCAGACGCUUAGUUCCGUUUAAGUUCUGGUGCCAGAAGAAGUUCUGUCUAUGUGUUGCUGCUGAAUAAGGAAUUCUCAUUAAAAUGGAUGGUUUCUGGAUUGUCUUCCUCCCUGGAAACCAAUUUUGCCUUCCUCUGGGACUCUGCCUCACUAUCCUGCUGCUGGUCUGCAGGGAGCCAGUGUUCUACUUGUCCCUGGGUCUAAAGCCUAGUGCCACACUGUGCCCAAGCCGUGCUUAAUAAAUGCCUCUUUGUCCCAUGA